Long non-coding RNA from Myotis lucifugus (little brown bat), 549 nucleotides. RefSeq lists it as uncharacterized. The transcript is spliced from 3 exons. The record is from RefSeq and is a predicted model, not a curated record. NCBI's taxonomy places the organism in Eukaryota, Metazoa, Chordata, Mammalia, Chiroptera, Vespertilionidae.
CAUGAUGGACAUUGUUCCCGUUGUAUUUCAGGAAUCUGUAAGAAGACAAAUGUAUGCACUGAACUGAGCUGGGUCGAAACUGAGCUUGCAAAAAGAGAACACGGUUGGCUUCUGGAUGACGAUGACAGAGUGGACAUCUGCAUCCAAUUACAUUCCUUCCUGAAACCCCACUCAGAUGCUAAUACAGGAAUUUUUAAAAGCAUAAACCCACAAAGUCAGGGAGGAGAGGAUUGGAGGCCACAGCAACACAAUCCCGGAAAUUCAAAGCAGAAGAUAAGAGUCCUAGAAAGAGAGAGAAAAAUGGAAGGGUACAAAUCAUCAAUGAAAAUUAUUCCAUAAAAUUUCCCAGCAUUGAAGGCCAUGAGUUUCUAGCAUGAAAAGGGCCCACAAUGCCCAGAGAAGAUUCUACAAGAUUCCAGAGGGAGAAAACCAAGUUACAUGAAAAUGAUCAAAAAUGGCUUUGGCCCUAACUGGUUUGGCUCAGUGGAUAGAGCAUCGGCCUGCGGCCCAGGGACUGAAGGGUUCCAGGUUCGAUUCCCGUCAAGGGCA